GUGAGGAAUAUUGCGCAAUGGAGGCAACUCUGACGCAGCCAUGCCGCGUGCAGGAAGAAGGCGCUACGCGUUGUAAACUGCUUUUAACCGGGAAGAAACCCCAGGACGUGUCCUGGGUUGACGGUACCGGCGGAAUAAGCACCGGCUAACUUCGUGCCAGCAGCCGCGGUAAUACGAAGGGUGCAAGCGUUAUCCGGAUUCAUUGGGUUUAAAGGGUGCGUAGGCGGAGCGUUAAGUCAGUCGUGAAAUCCUGCAGCUUAACUGUAGACUUGCCAUUGAUACUGGCGCUCUUGAGUGCGCUUGAAGUGGGCGGAAUGUGCCGUGUAGCGGUGAAAUGCUUAGAUAUGGCACAGAACACCAAUUGCGAAGGCAGCUCACUAAGGCGAUACUGACGCUGAGGCACGAAAGCGUGGGGAUCGAACAGGAUUAGAAACCCGUGUAGUCC
Molecule: ribosomal RNA, 445 nt
Filed under: uncultured bacterium
Lineage: Bacteria
Description: partial 16S ribosomal RNA
Rfam family: Bacterial small subunit ribosomal RNA
Source: RNAcentral